AUACAGAGGGUGCGAGCGUUAAUCGGAAUUACUGGGCGUAAAGCGCGCGUAGGCGGUUAUUUAAGUCAGAUGUGAAAUCCCUGGGCUCAACCUAGGAACUGCAUCUGAAACUGGGUAACUAGAGUUUAGGAGAGGGGAGUAGAAUUUCGGGUGUAGCGGUGAAAUGCAUAGAGAUCCGAAGGAAUACCAGUGGCGAAGGCGACUCCCUGGUCUAGAACUGACGCUGAGGUGCGAAAGCGUGGGUAGCAAACGGGAUUAGAAACCCUUGUAGUCC
Molecule: ribosomal RNA, 274 nt
Filed under: uncultured bacterium
Lineage: Bacteria
Description: partial 16S ribosomal RNA
Rfam family: Bacterial small subunit ribosomal RNA
Source: RNAcentral